This 405-nucleotide ribosomal RNA is filed under the name uncultured fungus. RNAcentral describes it as "eukaryotic LSU rRNA". The stretch from base 118 to 271 matches the Rfam family "5.8S ribosomal RNA". Lineage: Eukaryota; Fungi. The record is from RNAcentral.
GAACAAGUUGCUUCGGCGGGCGGUCCCGGGGAGGGACCGUAGCCCGCGAGGGCGCCCGCCGGAGGACCCAAACCUCUGAAGUUUCAAGUCUCUCUGAGCAAAAAACAAAUGAAUCAAAACUUUCAACAACGGAUCUCUUGGUUCGGGCAUCGAUGAAGAACGCAGCGAAAUGCGAUAAGUAAUGUGAAUUGCAGAACUCAGCGAAUCAUCGAAUCUUUGAACGCACAUUGCGCCCGGGAGUAUUCUCCCGGGCAUGCCUGUUCGAGCGUCAUUUCAACCCUCGCGCCCCGCGCGGUGUUGGGGCCCUGCGGCUGCCGCAGGCCCUGAAAUUCAGUGGCGGGCUCGCCAGGACUCCCAGCGCAGUAGCUUAACCUCGCUGUGGAUUACUGGUUGGUUCCAGCCGUG